AAACUUUCAACAACGGAUCUCUUGGUUCUGGCAUCGAUGAAGAACGCAGCGAAAUGCGAUAAGUAAUGUGAAUUGCAGAAUUCAGUGAAUCAUCGAAUCUUUGAACGCACAUUGCGCCCCUUGGUAUUCCUUGGGGCACGCCUGUUCGAGCGUCAUU
This 157-nucleotide ribosomal RNA is filed under the name Capnodiales sp. M-Camp7. RNAcentral describes it as "5.8S ribosomal RNA". It matches the Rfam family "5.8S ribosomal RNA". From Rfam's summary of the family: 5.8S ribosomal RNA (5.8S rRNA) is a component of the large subunit of the eukaryotic ribosome. It is transcribed by RNA polymerase I as part of the 45S precursor that also contains 18S and 28S rRNA. Functionally, it is thought that 5.8S rRNA may be involved in ribosome translocation. Lineage: Eukaryota; Fungi; Ascomycota; Dothideomycetes; Capnodiales. The record is from RNAcentral.